AUGAUCAACUCCAAUGUUAGGUGCAGGACCCAUCUUGUUCAAUCUUUCUCCGGAAGGGAAGUUGAAUGAUGCUCUUUUUGGCCUAGUUGAUUUGAGGUCGUUGCCGGAAUUUAUAGGUUGUGCACUUCAUUCGACUAUUUAAAUACAUUCUGUGUCUUCCGGCUAAAGAGCACAUUUUCUUUUGUAAGUUCAUGUGGGUUCUACUUUGGACAAGGCAUGUGAGGCUAUUGGCGAAGACUUGGUUGGUGCCAUGCCAAUCCCAUGCAGCAUCUAAUAUAGUCUCAAGACUGCAUUGUACUAAGUGUUUUAGAAAGACCGCUACGUUAUUGAGUGGCUCAAUAAUUUGAGUGGUGAAUGAAUUUAUGAUUGCAUCUCCACCCUUUCUACUCGACAACGGACCUUGUUUGCCUUCGCUGGACAAAAGUUUGUCUUUUACUUUUGUUAGUCAAAUAGACAAUAACGUCAAUCACUGUUUUUUCCUUUUGAGUUUUGCCAUUUUAUUAGUUACUCU
This is a non-coding RNA of Lupinus albus (white lupine), 511 nucleotides long. The record is from the annotation of a GenBank genome assembly. Lineage: Eukaryota; Viridiplantae; Streptophyta; Magnoliopsida; Fabales; Fabaceae.